Long non-coding RNA from Ananas comosus (pineapple), 395 nucleotides. RefSeq lists it as uncharacterized. NCBI's taxonomy places the organism in Eukaryota, Viridiplantae, Streptophyta, Magnoliopsida, Poales, Bromeliaceae. The transcript is spliced from 3 exons. The record is from RefSeq and is a predicted model, not a curated record.
AAUGGUCGACUCUCUGUGAGCUCUUCGCCUGUCUUCCGAAUCAAAGCAGGUAAGUUCAAUUUCUGCUGGUUUAAUCGCUAUUCUCAAGAAAAGAGAAGCCGAGUGCCAUCUCAUCCAUGUCUGUCGGCGCCCAAUAUUCUAUCUGCUAUCCUUCACCGUCGUUCCUCCCGGUUAGCUCCUCCAGGGCGGCGGAGCCGAAGCCCUGCCGCAGCUGUAGAAUCAUCUCCGCGACUGCCCAGGGGGGAGAAAGUCGCAGCAGAAGGCGCGUAUGGCGCCGCCGCAAGCUGGUAUGUGCCCACCUCCUAGGGCAUUGAUCGAUCUCUAUUUUCCUUUUUAAGCUUGAUAAUGAGGUUUUCAUGUUUGAUGUUGUAAAAUGUAUGUUGGGGAAACCGUUU